CGACUACAUGAAGCUGGAAUCGCUAGUAAUCGCGAAUCAGAAUGUCGCGGUGAAUACGUUCCCGGGUCUUGUACACACCGCCCGUCACACCAUGGGAGUCGGGAAUGCCCGAAGUCAGUGACCCAACCGGAAGGAGGGAGCUGCCGAAGGCAGGCUCGAUAACUGGGGUGAAGUCGUAACAAGGUAAC
RNAcentral lists this ribosomal RNA (188 nucleotides) under uncultured bacterium. Its description in RNAcentral is "partial 16S ribosomal RNA". It matches the Rfam family "Bacterial small subunit ribosomal RNA", at positions 1313 to 1500 of the family's 1533-position model. The record is from RNAcentral.